Ipomoea nil (Japanese morning glory) is the source of this 2495-nucleotide RNA transcript. It is a transcript of the gene named probable glycosyltransferase At5g03795, with no coding region annotated. The record is from RefSeq and is a predicted model, not a curated record. The transcript is spliced from 6 exons. NCBI's taxonomy places the organism in Eukaryota, Viridiplantae, Streptophyta, Magnoliopsida, Solanales, Convolvulaceae.
AUUGCCGUAGUCAUCGUUUGCAAUCUGCCGGACGAUUACUGUUGAUCGGAAAGUGUAUAAAACGUACGGAAACGGCGGCGGAGCAUUUCCCACCGUUUCCGUUUUCUUUUUCAAUGCAUCCUCAUCACCAUCGUCAUCGUUCGUCAUCGUCCGGACGAUAACUGCUCACCGGAGGUCUAUAAAACGUACGAAAACGACGGCGGAGCAUUUCCCUCCGUUUCCGUUUUCUUUCUUCCAUGCAUCCCCAUUCUCGAUCCAGCGGAGGAUUAAUGUUGAUCGGGAAGGCAUAUAAAACGUACGAAAACGGCAGCGGAGUAUUUCCCUCCGUUUUCGUAUUCUUCAAUUUGUUCCACACAUUCCCAUUUCGCCAUCAUCAUCAACAAUUCAACCGUUUUCCUCUUUCUCUUCCACUUCACUUUCCUCAAUUUUCCUCUCCCGCAAUAUCGUUUUAGCAACAAUCCAAAGGUUGGCAUUUCAUAGCACACGUGGGAGAUUUUUUUGGAUGAAAUGAUGAGGAAGUCGUUGGGGACUACUGUUGUUGUUCUGCUGUUCAAAAUCUACUCAAGAAGGCUACUUUUUGUUGGUGCUAUUCUAACAGUUGUUAGUGCCCUAUUUCAAAUUUAUACGCUUUCUUACCCAUUGACAGGGUGGUGGUUCCACCCUCUAGUGGAAGUUUCACCCACUAAGAACUUGAACCUUGAGAGGCAUUUGGAGGAAAAUAUAAAUAUUCAUCUGGGAAAGAUUGACCAUUUGGAGGUUAUUCAACAUUUCCAGUCAGUUGUUCCACAGAAUUAUUCUGCUGAUCAGGUUCCAUUAAAGAAAUCUUCGACAAUAGCAAAAAAGACCGCUCGUGUAAGAAAGCGAACAAGAGAGCCUCCUUCUGCACCUUUACUUCCUGGUAGAAAUGUGUCUAAUCACCUGCUGAGAUAUAUUGAGUCAUUGUCACCUGAUGAGGGACUUGCAUAUGCUAAAAAGGAGAUUGAGAAAGCCCCAUUCGUUGUUGAUGAUCCAGACUUGUAUGUCCCUCUAUUCAGGAAUGUUUCUAUAUUUAAGAGGAGCUAUGAGUUAAUGGAGCUUAUACUUAGAGUUUACAUUUACCAAGAAGGAAAGAGGCCUAUUUUCCAUGUACCUUAUCUUCGAGGAAUUUAUUCAUCUGAGGGAUGGUUCAUGAAACAUAUGGAGGAAAACAGGCAAUUUGUUACAAAGGACCCGAAAAAGGCUCACCUAUUCUAUAUUCCAUACAGUGCAAAGCAGUUGCAGAGAGCACUUUAUGUUCGUAACUCACAUAACCUUAGGCCUUUGUCAUUAUUUCUACGGGAUCAUGUGAACAUGCUUGCUGCAAAGUAUCCUUUCUGGAACCACACUCGUGGAUCAGAUCACUUUCUGGUAGCUUGCCAUGAUUGGGGGCCUUAUACUUUGACGGAUCAUGAGGAGCUCCUUAAAAAUACAAUAAAAGCUCUCUGUAACGCAGAUCUUUCUGAAGGAAUAUUUGUUGCUGGGAAGGAUGUUUCCUUGCCAGAAACCACCAUAAGGAAUCCCAAAAGGCCUCUCAGGAAUGUUGGUGGAAAAAGAGUGUCACAACGCCCGAUCCUUGCCUUUUUUGCUGGACGCACGCAUGGCAGGGUUCGUCCCAGACUUAUAAAGUACUGGAGUGAUAAAGAUGAAGACAUGAGGAUAUAUGCAGCUUUACCUAACAGAGUGUCAAAGAUAAUGAAUUAUGCUGAACAUAUGAAAUCAAGUAAAUAUUGCAUAUGUCCUAUGGGUUUUGAAGUGAAUAGCCCGAGGGUUGUUGAGGCAAUAUAUUACGAGUGUGUCCCGGUGAUAAUUGCUGAUAAUUUUUCCCUUCCAUUCAAUGAAGUACUUAACUGGAGUGCAUUUUCAGUGCGUGUUGCCGAGAAAGAUAUUCCAAAACUGAAAGAGAUUCUAUUAGCUAUUCCAGUGAGACAAUAUCUUACCAUGCAGACUAAUAUCAAAAAGUUGCAGAAGCAUUUCCUCUGGAACUCAAGACCAACUAGAUUUGAUUUAUUCCAUAUGAUUCUGCAUUCACUCUGGUUUAGCAGGCUGAACCAGUUUCAGAUACCAGAGCAAUCUUAAUAUUGGUUAGCUCUUCUGCCUGAUAUAAGUGGUUAUGAAUGUGAGCCAGAUAUAUUUUGGCAUGGCUGAUAUCUAUACAGUUGAGGAAGAGCUUCUGUUUUGGGGAAAGGGUAAUUAAUUUACUUAGGUCGGGUUAAAACCUGUCCAAGAGGGCAAGAGUCUGCAUUGAGUUCGGUGUCGGAAAGAAAAUAUUGCCAUAUUGAUGUGCACCGUGGACAUUGUUUGAUUGGUGCCUGUAGUUGCCUUAUGUUGGAUUGUUGGUUGAUUCUCUUCACAUUUUUGCCACCUUCAAUUCAAAUGAUCUCCGGAGGCAGUCGCAUUCUGCAUGCUUACCAAAAUUAUUUUACAGUAUCGGUGUUUUUAUCAUUAUCAUUUUGUGUGAUCUACAUGCAAAGAGCGUG